This 275-nucleotide ribosomal RNA is filed under the name uncultured bacterium. RNAcentral's name for it is "partial 16S ribosomal RNA". It matches the Rfam family "Bacterial small subunit ribosomal RNA", at positions 338 to 610 of the family's 1533-position model. The record is from RNAcentral.
CCUACGGGGGGCUGCAGUGAGGAAUAUUGGUCAAUGGGCGCAAGCCUGAACCAGCCAUGCCGCGUGAAGGAAGAAGGCCCUAAGGGUUGUAAACUUCUUUUGUACGGGGGUAAUUUUCGUCUCGUGAGAUGAAUUGAAAGUACUGUACGAAUAAGCGUCGGCUAACUACGUGCCAGCAGCCGCGGUAAUACGUAGGACGCAAGCGUUAUCCGGAUUCAUUGGGUUUAAAGGGUGCGUAGGCGGGCCUUUAAGUCAGUGGUGAAAGUUUGCCGCUU